AACGAACGCUGGCGGCAUGCCUAACACAUGCAAGUCGAACGAGACCUUCGGGUCUAGUGGCGCACGGGUGCGUAACGCGUGGGGACCUGCCCUUAGGUUCGGAAUAACUCCCCGAAAGGGGUGCUAAUACCGGAUAAUGUCUUCGGCCCAAAGAUUUAUCGCCUUUGGAUGGGCCCGCGUUGGAUUAGCUAGUUGGUAGGGUAAAAGCCUACCAAGGCGACGAUCCAUAGCUGGUCUGAGAGGAUGAUCAGCCACACUGGGACUGAGACACGGCCCAGACUCCUACGGGAGGCAGCAGUGGGGAAUAGUGGACAAUGGGCGAAAGCCUGAUCCAGCAAUGCCGCGUGAGUGAUGAAGGCCUUAGGGUUGUAAAGCUCUUUUACCCGGGAUGAUAAUGACAGUACCGGGAGAAUAAGCGCCGGCUAACUCCGUG
This 433-nucleotide ribosomal RNA is filed under the name uncultured bacterium. RNAcentral describes it as "partial 16S ribosomal RNA". It matches the Rfam family "Bacterial small subunit ribosomal RNA", at positions 29 to 507 of the family's 1533-position model. The record is from RNAcentral.